UACGGAGGAUGCGAGCGUUAUCCGGAUUUAUUGGGUUUAAAGGGUGCGCAGGCGGGCUGUUAAGCCGGCGGUAAAAAUUCAGGGCUCAACCCUGUCGAGCCGUCGGAACUGGCAGUCUUGAGUACAGUAGAGGUGGGCGGAAUUCGUGGUGUAGCGGUGAAAUGCUUAGAUAUCACGAAGAACUCCGAUUGCGAAGGCAGCUCACUGGACUGCAACUGACACUGAGGCUCGAAAGUGUGGGUAUCAAACAGG
RNAcentral lists this ribosomal RNA (252 nucleotides) under uncultured Bacteroides sp. RNAcentral's name for it is "partial 16S ribosomal RNA". It matches the Rfam family "Bacterial small subunit ribosomal RNA", at positions 524 to 776 of the family's 1533-position model. Lineage: Bacteria; Pseudomonadati; Bacteroidota; Bacteroidia; Bacteroidales; Bacteroidaceae. The record is from RNAcentral.